This 253-nucleotide ribosomal RNA is filed under the name Ornithodoros sp. MSCN3. Its description in RNAcentral is "partial large subunit ribosomal RNA". Lineage: Eukaryota; Metazoa; Arthropoda; Arachnida; Ixodida; Argasidae. The record is from RNAcentral. RNAcentral also lists the same sequence under 1 other name.
UACGAAGGUAUUGAAAUAAGGCUUUUAUUGGGUGCUAAGAGAAUGGUUGAACAAGGAUUAACUUUCUUUUAAUUUUUAAGGAAUUUGAUUUAAAAGUGAAGAGGCUUUUAUUAAUUUUUGGGACAAGAAGACCCUAUGAAUUUUUUUUAUGGAUUUAUUAUUAUUCAUAAUUAAGAGAAUAAAAUAUUUUCAUAAGUUUAUUGGGGUGAUUUUUAAAUAUUGUUUAACUUUAAAAAAAGAAAUUAGAACCAUA